GACGAACGCUGGCGGCGUGCUUAACACAUGCAAGUCGAACGGAAAGGCCCCCAUCUUGGUGGGGGUGCUCGAGUGGCGAACGGGUGAGUAACACGUGGGUGAUCUGCCCUGUACUUCGGGAUAAGCUUGGGAAACUGGGUCUAAUACCGGAUAGGACCAUGGUUUAGUGUCUCAUGGUGGAAAGAUUAUUGUUUUGGUGCAGGAUGAGCUCGCGGCCUAUCAGCUUGUUGGUGGGGUAAUGGCCUACCAAGGCGUCGACGGGUAGCCGGCCUGAGAGGGUGGACGGCCACAUUGGGACUGGGAUACGGCCCAGACUCCUACGGGAGGCAGCAGUGGGGAAUAUUGCAAAAUGGGAGCAAGCCUGAUGCAGCGACGCCGCAUGGGGGAUGACGGCCUUCGGGUUGUAAACUCCUUUCGUUAGGGACGAAGCCGCACUUUUUUUGGGUGUGGUGACGGUACCUUUGUUAAGAAGCACCGGCUAACUACGUG
Molecule: ribosomal RNA, 489 nt
Filed under: uncultured bacterium
Lineage: Bacteria
Description: partial 16S ribosomal RNA
Rfam family: Bacterial small subunit ribosomal RNA
Source: RNAcentral